AACGCGAAGAACCUUACCUGGGCUCGAAGCGCAGUGGACCGGGGUAGAAAUAUCCCUUCCCCUUAAAAGGCUGCUGCGGAGGUGCUGCAUGGCUGUCGUCAGCUCGUGUCGUGAGAUGUUGGGUUAAGUCCCGCAACGAGCGCAACCCUUAUCCCUAGUUGCCAUCGGGUCAAGCCGGGCACUCUAGUGAAACUGCCUCGGAUAACGAGGAGGAAGGUGGGGAUGACGUCAAGUCCUCAUGGCCUUUAUGUCCAGGGCUACACACGUGCUACAAUGGUCGGUACAAACCGUCGCAAACCAGCGAUGGGGAGCCAAUCCCAGCAAAACCGGUCUCAGUUCGGAUUGGAGGCUGAAACCCGCCUCCAUGAAGUCGGAGUUGCUAGUAACUGUGGGUCAGCACACCACAGUGAAUACGUUCCCGGGCCUUGUACACACCGGAGUGC
This 443-nucleotide ribosomal RNA is filed under the name uncultured bacterium. RNAcentral's name for it is "bacterial SSU rRNA". It matches the Rfam family "Bacterial small subunit ribosomal RNA", at positions 958 to 1398 of the family's 1533-position model. The record is from RNAcentral.